GGAUUAGUGGCGAACGGGUGAGGAACACGUGAGAAACCUGCCUUUCAUUCUGGGAUAACACCGGGAAACCGGUGCUAAUACUGAAUAUUGAAACAUAAGUGGCAUCACUGAGUUUUGAAAGAAUUUCGGUAGAAGAUGACCUCGCGGCCUAUCAGCUUGUUGGUGAGGUAAUGGCUCACCAAGGCGACGACGGGUAGCCGGCCUGAGAGGGCGACCGGCCACACUGGGACUGAGACACGGCCCAGACUCC
Molecule: ribosomal RNA, 250 nt
Filed under: uncultured bacterium
Lineage: Bacteria
Description: partial 16S ribosomal RNA
Rfam family: Bacterial small subunit ribosomal RNA
Source: RNAcentral